UACGGAGGGGGCGAGCGUUAUUCGGAAUUAUUGGGCGUAAAGGGCGCGUAGGCGGCUUCAUAAGUCAAAGGUGAAAUCCCUCGGCUCAACUGAGGAACUGCCUUUGAAACUGUCUGGCUUGAGGCCGGGAGAGGGUAGCGGAAUUCCCAGUGUAGCGGUGAAAUGCGUAGAUAUUGGGAGGAACACCAGUGGCGAAGGCGGCUACCUGGACCGGUUCUGACGCUGAGGCGCGAAAGCGUGGGUAGCAAACAGG
RNAcentral lists this ribosomal RNA (253 nucleotides) under uncultured bacterium. RNAcentral describes it as "partial 16S ribosomal RNA". It matches the Rfam family "Bacterial small subunit ribosomal RNA", at positions 524 to 776 of the family's 1533-position model. The record is from RNAcentral.